RNAcentral lists this ribosomal RNA (398 nucleotides) under uncultured bacterium. RNAcentral describes it as "partial 16S ribosomal RNA". It matches the Rfam family "Bacterial small subunit ribosomal RNA", at positions 523 to 918 of the family's 1533-position model. The record is from RNAcentral.
AUACGUAGGGUGCGAGCGUUGUCCGGAAUUACUGGGCGUAAAGAGCUCGUAGGUGGUUUGUCGCGUCGUCUGUGAAAUUCCGGGGCUUAACUCCGGGCGUGCAGGCGAUACGGGCAUAACUUGAGUACUGUAGGGGAGACUGGAAUUCCUGGUGUAGCGGUGAAAUGCGCAGAUAUCAGGAGGAACACCGGUGGCGAAGGCGGGUCUCUGGGCAGUAACGGACGCUGAGGAGCGAAAGCAUGGGUAGCGAACAGGAUUAGAUACCCUGGUAGUCCAUGCCGUAAACGGUGGGCGCUAGGUGUAGGGGUCUUCCACGACUUCUGUGCCGUAGCUAACGCAUUAAGCGCCCCGCCUGGGGAGUACGGCCGCAAGGCUAAAACUCAAAGGAAUUGACGGGG